Molecule: long non-coding RNA, 411 nt
Filed under: Nothobranchius furzeri (turquoise killifish)
Lineage: Eukaryota; Metazoa; Chordata; Actinopteri; Cyprinodontiformes; Nothobranchiidae
Description: lncRNA (ENSNFUG00015003520.1)
Source: RNAcentral
UAGCAGCCCUCUACGGCGUGCAGCGCUGACCUUGUCUCCCUACAUGUAAUUAAUUAAAACUUCACAGCAGGACUGACAGCUGAUGGAUCACCCUCUUGUUGAUUGUUGCUGUUGAGGUAAUCACACACACACACACACCCACUCGCACACACACACACUCAGGUGUGUCCAUUCACACCAAGUUGAAGAGUCGUUGACAGAAGCGAAAAGUGAUUUGUGGGUUUAUUAAUGGUGAUGCUGUUGGUGCUGGAUGAUCUAUGUGUGCAGCAGUAAUUGCAUAUUGAAUAAGAAAACCAAAUAGAAAACAGAAGUACUUACUGGCACUCGCUGCCAGUUUCCACCCUGAUACCAUUAAAUGUGUGCAUGUGUGUGUGUGGUUGACUUGUUUAUUCAACACAUUUGCAGUGUUCU